UACGUAGGGUGCGAGCGUUUUCCGGAAUUACUGGGCGUAAAGAGCUCGUAGGUGGUUUGUCGCGUUGUCCGUGAAAACUCACAACUCAAUUGUGGGCGUGCGGGCGAUACGGGCAGACUGGAGUACUGCAGGGGAGACUGGAAUUCCUGGUGUAGCGGUGGAAUGCGCAGAUAUCAGGAGGAACACCGGUGGCGAAGGCGGGUCUCUGGGCAGUAACUGACGCUGAGGAGCGAAAGCGUGGGGAGCGAACAGG
Molecule: ribosomal RNA, 253 nt
Filed under: uncultured bacterium
Lineage: Bacteria
Description: partial 16S ribosomal RNA
Rfam family: Bacterial small subunit ribosomal RNA
Source: RNAcentral